AUGAACAUGCAUUGACACAAAAAUGUAGUAAUUACACCAUAAAUGCAUAUAAUUAAAGUCUGCUGUCUUUCACAGUCAACAUAGGCUAUAGACUUGUUCGGUAGGUCUAAAGGAAAA
Molecule: long non-coding RNA, 117 nt
Organism: Sinocyclocheilus rhinocerous
Lineage: Eukaryota; Metazoa; Chordata; Actinopteri; Cypriniformes; Cyprinidae
Exons: 3
Source: RefSeq, a predicted model, not a curated record